UCCAAAAUUAUUUUUCUUGUGAUGGUUGUUGCUCCAAACAAUUUUAUUUUUAUUCCAUCAAUGAUCUUAGGGUCCGAUAAAGUUUGCACAGACCGUAAAGUAAGAAAAAAUGGCACCUUCAACUCACGAUUGGUCGGAACAAGCCACGGAGGAAAAAUCUAAAAUAAAUCGGUACAUAUAUUAAGAAUGAUGAUAAAAUCAUUUAAUCAUUAAUUAAAACAAAAACUUGAUUAGAAUUAGACUUACUGUUUCUUGGGGGGUUGAAAAGAUCAAGAAAUUUUACACUUUUAUCAGUUUUG
This 299-nucleotide long non-coding RNA is filed under the name Capsicum annuum. RNAcentral's name for it is "long non-coding RNA (CANN_LNC011786)". Lineage: Eukaryota; Viridiplantae; Streptophyta; Magnoliopsida; Solanales; Solanaceae. The record is from RNAcentral.